RNAcentral lists this ribosomal RNA (468 nucleotides) under uncultured bacterium. RNAcentral's name for it is "partial 16S ribosomal RNA". It matches the Rfam family "Bacterial small subunit ribosomal RNA", at positions 28 to 507 of the family's 1533-position model. The record is from RNAcentral.
GACGAACGCUGGCGGCGUGCUUAACACAUGCAAGUCGAACGGAAAGGCCCUGCUUUUGUGGGGUGCUCGAGUGGCGAACGGGUGAGUAACACGUGAGUAACCUGCCCUUGACUUUGGGAUAACUUCAGGAAACUGGGGCUAAUACAGGAUAGGAGCUCCUGCUGCAUGGGGGGGGUUGGAAAGUUUCGGAGGUUGGGGAUGGACUCGCGGCUUAUCAGCUUGUUGGUGGGGUAGUUGCUUACCAAGGCUUUGACGGGUAGCCGGCCUGAGAGGGUGACCGGGCACAAUGGGACUGAGAUACGGCGCAGAGUGCUACGGGAGGCAGCGGGGGGGAAUAUUGCACAAUGGGGGGGAGUCUGAUGCAGCAACGCCGCGUGCGUGAUGACGGCCUUGGGGGGGUAAACCGCAUUCGCCUGUGACGAAGCGUGAGUGACGGUAAUGGGUAAAGAAGCACCGGCUAACUACGUG